AAGUCUAACCUGCCCUAUGAUUUAUUAUUAAAUGGCCGCGAUAUUCUGAUCGUGCAAAGGUAGCAUAAUAAUUAGUUUUUUAAUUGAGAACUGGUAUGAAUGGUUGAACGAAAAAAAAACUGUCUCAAUUUAAUUUAAAUUAGAAUUUUAUUUUUAAGUUAAAAAGCUUAAAUAUUUUUAAAAGACGAGAAGACCCUAUAGAGUUUUAUAUAAGUUUAUUAUUUUAAAAAAUUUUAGGAUUUUAAAUUUAAUUAUAAUAGUUUAUAUUUAAUUGGGGUGAUUAAAAAAUUUAAGGAACUUUUUUUAAAUUUAAACAUAAAUUUAUGAAUAGAUGAUCC
Molecule: ribosomal RNA, 338 nt
Filed under: Macroderes tortuosus
Lineage: Eukaryota; Metazoa; Arthropoda; Insecta; Coleoptera; Scarabaeidae
Description: partial large subunit ribosomal RNA
Source: RNAcentral